CAUAAUCCCAGCACCAACAAUUGUGGUUAACAAAUUGAAGACAACCCUGGAGAAAGAAGCUCCAUUGAACUCGUCAAAACUACCCUCCUCAUGCUUUUUGGGAAGUAAGGAGCAUUUUCAUCUACCGGCCGUUUCCCCUUCCUGGAUUUCCUAUCUUUCUUUGGACCAAAGUUCACAAUCGUCAUCUCUUUCAAUUAGGAGCUCGGAGGUUAUUGGUGGCCAAAUUGGAGCUCGAAGAGGGUGAAAUUUGAGAAGAGGAGAAGGAAUUGUUGCCGACGGGGAAGAAGUUCAAGAGGAAGAUAGGCGACGGUGGGAGUGAGGAUUCCAUGACUACGCCGUACAAAUUGGGGGUGGCGUGGCGUCAUCCAAGAGAAGGGACUCUACGAAGAAGAUGGAGAGGUUGAGGAAAUCUGUGGUGGCAUCUGGUUAUGGAGGAGGGGAGACUCCGAGGUAUUUGUUGAGGAGUAUGUGCAAGGAGGAGAACAAGACGACGACGAAGUUGCCGCUGCCGACGGUGGCUGCUCUUGGUAUGCCGGCGGUUGAAUUGGAGAGAUCUACGAUUCCGAGUGGGCGGAAGAUUGGAGUGAGGAGAUCAGUUAGGAAGAUCUGAAUCUGAUUCUUAUUAUAUUUUUCAUAUUAGGAAGAAAAACAGAGUCUGCUAUGUAUUCAGAGAUUGAUUGAGUUUGCUUUGCCCUUAGGUUGUGUACUACAAUAAGGUUAACAAUCUUUUAAUUACAUCAGCGUGGGCUAGCGGAAGAAGAAAGGAUUUUUUUAGAUAAUAAAAAAUAUAUUCAAUAGCUCGUAACUUACGCUAAAAUAUGUAGAGAUUAUGUAUAUUUCGG
Molecule: long non-coding RNA, 842 nt
Filed under: Linum usitatissimum (flax)
Lineage: Eukaryota; Viridiplantae; Streptophyta; Magnoliopsida; Malpighiales; Linaceae
Description: long non-coding RNA (LUSI_LNC004705)
Source: RNAcentral